AUUGAACGCUGGCGGCAGGCCUAACACAUGCCAGUCGAGCGGAUGAAGGGAGCUUGCUCCUGGAUUCAGCGGCGGACGGGUGAGUAAUGCCUAGGAAUCUGCCUGGUAGUGGGGGAUAACGUCUGGAAACGGGCGCUAAUACCGCAUACGUCCUGAGGGAGAAAGUGGGGGAUCUUCGGACCUCACGCUAUCAGAUGAGCCUAGGUCGGAUUAGCUAGUUGGUGGGGUAAAGGCCUACCAAGGCGACGAUCCGUAACUGGUCUGAGAGGAUGAUCAGUCACACUGGAACUGAGACACGGUCCAGACUCCUACGGGAGGCAGCAGUGGGGAAUAUUGGACAAUGGGCGAAAGCCUGAUCCAGCCAUGCCGCGUGUGUGAAGAAGGUCUUCGGAUUGUAAAGCACUUUAAGUUGGGAGGAAGGGCAGUAAGUUAAUACCUUGCUGUUUUGACGUUACCAACAGAAUAAGCACCGGCUAACUUCGUG
Molecule: ribosomal RNA, 484 nt
Filed under: uncultured bacterium
Lineage: Bacteria
Description: partial 16S ribosomal RNA
Rfam family: Bacterial small subunit ribosomal RNA
Source: RNAcentral